This 253-nucleotide ribosomal RNA is filed under the name uncultured bacterium. Its description in RNAcentral is "partial 16S ribosomal RNA". It matches the Rfam family "Archaeal small subunit ribosomal RNA", at positions 474 to 727 of the family's 1478-position model. The record is from RNAcentral.
UACCAGCACCCCGAGUGGUCGGGACGAUUAUUGGGCCUAAAGCAUCCGUAGCCGGCCUUACAAGUCCUCCGUUAAAUCCAGCUGCUUAACAGAUGGGCUGCGGAGGAUACUAUAAGACUAGGAGGCAGGAGAGGCAAGCGGUACUCAGUGGGUAGGGGUAAAAUCCGUUGAUCCAUUGAAGACCACCAGUGGCGAAGGCGGCUUGCCAGAAUGCGCUCGACGGUGAGGGAUGAAAGCAUGGGGAGCGAACAGG